GAUGAAGAACGUAGCGAAAUGCGAUAACUAAUGUGAAUUGCAGAAUUCCGUGAAUCAUCGAGUCUUUGAACGCACAUUGCGCCCCCUGGUAUUCCGGGGGGCAUGCCUGUCCGAGCGUCAUUGCUGCCCAUCAAGCACGGCUUGUGUGUUGGGUCCCGUCCCCCUCUCCCGGGGGACGGACCCGAAAGGCAGCGGCGGCACCGCGUCCGGUCCUCGAGCGUAUGGGGCUUUGUCACCCGCUCUUGUAGGCCCGGCCGGCGCUUGCCGACAACCAACCAUUUUUUUCAGGUUGACCUCGGAUCAGGUAGGGAUACCCGCUGAACUUAAGCAUAUCAAUAAGCGGAGGA
Molecule: unclassified non-coding RNA, 347 nt
Filed under: soil metagenome
Description: partial contains 5.8S ribosomal RNA, internal transcribed spacer 2, and large subunit ribosomal RNA
Rfam family: 5.8S ribosomal RNA (bases 1-120)
Source: RNAcentral